This 500-nucleotide ribosomal RNA is filed under the name uncultured bacterium. RNAcentral describes it as "partial 16S ribosomal RNA". It matches the Rfam family "Bacterial small subunit ribosomal RNA", at positions 30 to 523 of the family's 1533-position model. The record is from RNAcentral.
AUUGAACGCUGGCGGCAGGCCUAACACAUGCAAGUCGAGCGGAUGAAGAGAGCUUGCUCUCUGAUUCAGCGGCGGACGGGUGAGUAAUGCCUAGGAAUCUGCCUGGUAGUGGGGGACAACGUCUCGAAAGGGACGCUAAUACCGCAUACGUCCUACGGGAGAAAGCAGGGGACCUUCGGGCCUUGCGCUAUCAGAUGAGCCUAGGUCGGAUUAGCUAGUUGGUGAGGUAAUGGCUCACCAAGGCGACGAUCCGUAACUGGUCUGAGAGGAUGAUCAGUCACACUGGAAAUGAGACACGGUCCAGACUCCUACGGGAGGCAGCGGUGGGGAAUAUUGGACAAUGGGCGAAAGCCUGAUCCAGCCAUGCCGCGUGUGUGAAGAAGGUCUUCGGAUUGUAAAGCACUUUAAGUUGGGAGGAAGGGCAGUAAAUUAAUACUUUGCUGUUUUGACGUUACCGACAGAAUAAGCACCGGCUAACUCUGUGCCAGCAGCCGCAGUAA